AUUGAACGCUGGCGGCAGGCCUAACACAUGCAAGUCGAACGAGUGGCGGACGGGUGAGUAAUGUCUGGGAAACUGCCUGAUGGAGGGGGAUAACUACUGGAAACGGUAGCUAAUACCGCAUACCAUCAGAUGUGCCCAGAUGGGGUUAGCUUGUUGGUGGGGUAACGGCUCACCAAGGCGACGAUCCCUAGCUGGUCUGAGAGGAUGACCGGCCACACUGGAACGGAGACGCGGUCCGGGCUCCUCCGGUAGGCAGAGGUGGGGACUAUUGUACAAUGGGCGAGAGCCUGAUCCAGCCAUGCCGCGUGUGUGAAGAAGGUCUUCGGAUUGUAAAGCACUUUAAGUUGGAGGGCGUUACCAGCAGAAUAAGCACCGGCUAACUUCGUACCAGCAGCCGCGGUAAUAC
RNAcentral lists this ribosomal RNA (406 nucleotides) under uncultured bacterium. RNAcentral's name for it is "partial 16S ribosomal RNA". It matches the Rfam family "Bacterial small subunit ribosomal RNA", at positions 30 to 526 of the family's 1533-position model. The record is from RNAcentral.